Molecule: non-coding RNA, 107 nt
Organism: Gossypium hirsutum (cotton)
Lineage: Eukaryota; Viridiplantae; Streptophyta; Magnoliopsida; Malvales; Malvaceae
Source: Rfam
AGUCUAUGAUGAGGAUACCUUCUCAACAAAUCCUUAAAUCUCUCUCAUCUAUCAUAAAGUGCCUCAAUAUCAAACUGAACAAAAGAAGAGAUGUUAUUCCUUAACUU